GUUUACUACACCGUAUUCUGUGAGUUGCGAACGGGUGAGUAACGCGUAGGUAACCUGCCUGGUAGCGGGGGAUAACUAUUGGAAACGAUAGCUAAUACCGCAUAAGAACAUUUACUGCAUGGUAGAUGUUUAAAAGGUGCAAGAGCAUCACUACCAGAUGGACCUGCGUUGUAUUAGCUAGUUGGUGAGGUAACGGCUCACCAAGGCAACGAUACAUAGCCGACCUGAGAGGGUGAUCGGCCACACUGGGACUGAGACACGGCCCAGACUCCUACGGGAGGCAGCAGUAGGGAAUCUUCGGCAAUGGGGGGAACCCUGACCGAGCAACGCCGCGUGAGUGAAGAAGGUUUUCGGAUCGUAAAGCUCUGUUGUUAAGGAAGAACGUGUGUGAGAGUGGAAAGUUCACACAGUGACGGUACUUAACCAGAAAGGGACGGCUAACUACGUGCCAGCAGCCGCGGUAAUACGUAGGUCCCGAGCGUUGUCCGGAUUUAUUGGGCGUAAAGCGAGCGCAGGCGGUUAGAUAAGUCUGAAGUGAAAGGCAGUGGCUCAACCAUUGUAGGCUUUGGAAACUGUUUAACUUGAGUGCAGAAGGGGAGAGUGGAAUUCCAUGUGUAGCGGUGAAAUGCGUAGAUAUAUGGAGGAACACCAGUGGCGAAGGCG
This 663-nucleotide ribosomal RNA is filed under the name uncultured Bacilli bacterium. RNAcentral describes it as "bacterial SSU rRNA". It matches the Rfam family "Bacterial small subunit ribosomal RNA", at positions 72 to 723 of the family's 1533-position model. The record is from RNAcentral. Lineage: Bacteria; Bacillati; Bacillota; Bacilli.